UAUGUCCAUAUCAUGUUGAAACACUGGUUCUCAUAUGAUCAUCAAAGUUAAGCAAUGUUGAGCUUGGUCAGUACCUAGAUGGGUGACUGUUUAGGAACACCAAAUGCUGUAA
Molecule: non-coding RNA, 112 nt
Organism: Acanthosepion pharaonis
Lineage: Eukaryota; Metazoa; Mollusca; Cephalopoda; Sepiida; Sepiidae
Source: the annotation of a GenBank genome assembly